GAUAAUUUGUUGUAUAUUAUCUUAAUCAUAAUAUUCUUUAUUGGGCUAGUUGAGCUCACCCUUUUCCUUGUUGUUCCAUUUUCUUCUCAGGAGGUGAGAACAUAGCAAGAUCGAGUCGGGAUAUGGAAUGAAGGUUCUAGAGAGAGUUGUUUAGUAGUCCUCACCAUUUUUGUAAAAUAAUGUAUCAAUAAUUAUGAUGGGGAUUUAUUUGCGUGUGGAUAUUGUCUAGACGACAAUAUCUGUAUUUAAACUCAC
RNAcentral lists this long non-coding RNA (255 nucleotides) under Panax ginseng (ginseng). Its description in RNAcentral is "long non-coding RNA (PGIN_LNC009354)". The record is from RNAcentral. Lineage: Eukaryota; Viridiplantae; Streptophyta; Magnoliopsida; Apiales; Araliaceae.